CCUACGGGUGGCAGCAGUCGAGAAUCAUUCACAAUGGGGGAAACCCUGAUGGUGCGACGCCGCGUGGGGGAAUGAAGGUCUUCGGAUUGUAAACCCCUGUCAUGUGGGAGCAAAUUAAAAAGAUAGUACCACAAGAGGAAGAGACGGCUAACUCUGUGCCAGCAGCCGCGGUAAUACAGAGGUCUCAAGCGUUGUUCGGAAUCACUGGGCGUAAAGGGUGCGUAGGCUGUUUCGUAAGUCGUGUGUGAAAGGCGCGGGCUCAACCCGCGGACGGCACAUGAUACUGCGAGACUAGAGUAAUGGAGGGGGAACCGGAAUUCUCGGUGUAGCAGUGAAAUGCGUAGAUAGCGAGAGGAACACUCGUGGCGAAGGCGGGUUCCUGGACAUUAACUGACGCUGAGGCACGAAGGCCAGGGGAGCGAAAGGGAUUAGAUACCCCAGUAGUC
This 446-nucleotide ribosomal RNA is filed under the name uncultured bacterium. Its description in RNAcentral is "partial 16S ribosomal RNA". It matches the Rfam family "Bacterial small subunit ribosomal RNA", at positions 338 to 795 of the family's 1533-position model. The record is from RNAcentral.